GCUAUGUACGGAAUGGAUAAGCGCUGAAAGCAUCUAAGCGCGAAGCCAACUUCAAGAUAAGAUUUCCCACCGCAAGGGUAAGACCCCAGAAAGACUAUCUGGUUGAUAGGUCGAAGGUGUAAGUGCAGCAAUGUAUUUAGCUUAUCGAUACUAAUAGGUCGAGGACUUGACCAA
RNAcentral lists this ribosomal RNA (174 nucleotides) under Clostridioides difficile. Its description in RNAcentral is "partial 23S ribosomal RNA". It matches the Rfam family "Bacterial large subunit ribosomal RNA", at positions 2748 to 2925 of the family's 2925-position model. Lineage: Bacteria; Bacillati; Bacillota; Clostridia; Peptostreptococcales; Peptostreptococcaceae. The record is from RNAcentral.